GGCUGUAAUCUUACUGGUUAAGAGCUUGGCUGCUAACCAAAAGAUCGGCAGUUCAAAUCUACCAGCCA
This is a transfer RNA of Loxodonta africana (African savanna elephant), 68 nucleotides long. It matches the Rfam family "tRNA". From Rfam's summary of the family: Transfer RNA (tRNA) molecules are approximately 80 nucleotides in length. NCBI's taxonomy places the organism in Eukaryota, Metazoa, Chordata, Mammalia, Proboscidea, Elephantidae. The record is from Rfam.